GAUGAAGAACGCAGCGAAAUGCGAUACUUGGUGUGAAUUGCAGAAUCCCGUGAACCAUCGAGUCUUUGAACGCAAGUUGCGCCCGAAGCCAUUAGGCCGAGGGCACGCCUGCCUGGGUGUCACACGUCGUUGCCCCCCCAUCUACUCCUUCGGGAUUGCGGGGGGCGGAUGAUGGCCUCCUGUGCGCCUCGUCGCGCGGUUGGCAUAAAUGCCAAGUCCUCGGCGACGCACGCCACGACAAUCGGUGGUUGCGAAACCUCGGUUGCCCGUCGUGUGCGGUCGUCGCGCAUCGAGGGCUCGAAAAAAUUGCCGGGCUCCGGCUCGGCUUUCAACGCGACCCCAGGUCAGGCGGGGUUACCCGCUGAAUUUAAGCAUAUCAAUAAGCGGAGGA
This 391-nucleotide unclassified non-coding RNA is filed under the name soil metagenome. Its description in RNAcentral is "partial contains 5.8S ribosomal RNA, internal transcribed spacer 2, and large subunit ribosomal RNA". The stretch from base 1 to 122 matches the Rfam family "5.8S ribosomal RNA", at positions 35 to 154 of the family's 154-position model. The record is from RNAcentral.